GUACACUCCUGCGGGAGGCAGCAGUGGGGAAUAUUGGACAAUGGGCGCAAGCCUGAUCCAGCCAUGCCGCGUGAGUGAUGAAGGCCCUAGGGUUGUAAAGCUCUUUCACCGGUGAAGAUAAUGACGGUAACCGGAGAAGAAGCCCCGGCUAACUUCGUGCCAGCAGCCGCGGUAAUACGAAGGGGGCUAGCGUUGUUCGGAUUUACUGGGCGUAAAGCGCACGUAGGCGGACUAUUAAGUCAGGGGUGAAAUCCCGGGGCUCAACCCCGGAACUGCCUUUGAUACUGGUAGUCUUGAGUUCGAGAGAGGUGAGUGGAAUUCCGAGUGUAGAGGUGAAAUUCGUAGAUAUUCGGGGGAACACCAGUGGCGAAGGCGGCUCACUGGCUCGAUACUGACGCUGAGGUGCGAAAGCGUGGGGGGCAAACAGGAUUAGAAACCCCUGUAGUCCA
This 449-nucleotide ribosomal RNA is filed under the name uncultured organism. RNAcentral describes it as "partial 16S ribosomal RNA". It matches the Rfam family "Bacterial small subunit ribosomal RNA", at positions 331 to 797 of the family's 1533-position model. The record is from RNAcentral.